UACGUAGGGUGCGAGCGUUAAUCGGAAUUACUGGGCGUAAAGCGUGCGCAGGCGGUUUUGUAAGCCAGAUGUGAAAUCCCCGGGCUUAACCUGGGAAUGGCAUUUGGGACUGCAAGGCUGGAGUGCGGCAGAGGAGACUGGAAUUCCUGGUGUAGCAGUGAAAUGCGCAGAUAUCAGGAGGAACACCGGUGGCGAAGGCGGGUCUCUGGGCAGUAACUGACGCUGAGGAGCGAAAGCGUGGGGAGCGAACAGG
Molecule: ribosomal RNA, 253 nt
Filed under: uncultured bacterium
Lineage: Bacteria
Description: partial 16S ribosomal RNA
Rfam family: Bacterial small subunit ribosomal RNA
Source: RNAcentral